This 350-nucleotide long non-coding RNA is filed under the name Bos taurus (domestic cattle). Its description in RNAcentral is "long non-coding RNA NONBTAT018232". The record is from RNAcentral. Lineage: Eukaryota; Metazoa; Chordata; Mammalia; Artiodactyla; Bovidae.
UCCUUAAGGGAAGUGUUUAUAUAUUUUAAUUUCCUUGAAAUAGAACUUAUGGUCUAUAUGGACAUCAAUAAAUUAUUUGACAUAUAUUUUACAAAUGUGUUUGGGACUCUUCUGACAUUUCAGGUACUUGGAUAGAUCUUUUAAGAGAAUCUAGUGGAGACUGCAGGGUUUUUUUAGUUUGUCCCUAGACUAGAUCUUCAGGUGUUUUGAGAUGUGCAGUCAUAGUCUUUUUCUAAAUUUUACCUGUAGUUGAGGCAGACUUUCAUGUUCAUAUCAUGGAACUUGAUGGGCAGUUUUCAAAUUAUACUAAAUACUAGUAGUGAAUAUUACUCAAAAAAUGCCCUACUAUG